UGAACCUUCAUGCAAUCAGACCUGCCUUCCACAGGA
RNAcentral lists this unclassified non-coding RNA (36 nucleotides) under Mus musculus (house mouse). RNAcentral describes it as "oocyte_clustered_small_RNA4675". Lineage: Eukaryota; Metazoa; Chordata; Mammalia; Rodentia; Muridae. The record is from RNAcentral.